Long non-coding RNA from Ipomoea triloba (trilobed morning glory), 351 nucleotides. RefSeq lists it as uncharacterized. The record is from RefSeq and is a predicted model, not a curated record. The transcript is spliced from 3 exons. NCBI's taxonomy places the organism in Eukaryota, Viridiplantae, Streptophyta, Magnoliopsida, Solanales, Convolvulaceae.
GGCAUUUCGGUCGGCAACAAAUUUGAAAGGACAAAGAGCUAAAAAUUUGUUAAAAUGGAGGGAAAUUAAGUGUCCUACACAACCCGGUAGUGUGGAGUGCGGAUAUUAUGUCUUGCGAUAUAUGUUUGAGAUAUGCACUCAAUACUAUGAGUAUGAAGAUUUAGCAUCGGCAUUUGCGGGGUCAAAGUCCUACACGGAGAAUCAAAUCAAUGAAAUUCAUGAAAUUUGGGCUAAAUACUUUUGUGAAGAAUGCUUAUGACAUUUUGUGUAGGUAAAGUGUUGUAAUGAUGUAAUGACUUAUGUUUUAUAAUAUUGUAAUGAUGUAUGUGUUAAGUAUUUGGUAUGUGUUAA